This 305-nucleotide ribosomal RNA is filed under the name uncultured bacterium. Its description in RNAcentral is "bacterial SSU rRNA". It matches the Rfam family "Bacterial small subunit ribosomal RNA", at positions 338 to 659 of the family's 1533-position model. The record is from RNAcentral.
CCUACGGGGGGCAGCAGUGGGGAAUAUUGCACAAUGGGGGAAACCCUGAUGCAGCAACGCCGCGUGAGUGAGGAAGUAUUUCGGUAUGUAAAGCUCUAUCAGCAGGGAAUAGAAAAGAAGGUACCUGAAAAAGAAGCCCCGGCUAACUACGUGCCAGCAGCCGCGGUAAUACGUAGGGGGCAAGCGUUAUCCGGAUUUACUGGGUGUAAAGGGAGCGUAGACGGAAAGGCAAGUCAGAAGUGAAAGCCCGGGGCCCAACCCCGGGACUGCUCUUGGAACUGCAUGGCUGGAGUACAGGAGGGGCG